This 3543-nucleotide long non-coding RNA is filed under the name Homo sapiens (human). Its description in RNAcentral is "HSALNT0360841". The record is from RNAcentral. Lineage: Eukaryota; Metazoa; Chordata; Mammalia; Primates; Hominidae.
CUUUGUCUUUUACUAAUUCAAUGAUCUGUUUAAUCUUUUAUUAAAUUAUAAAAAUGAUAAAUACUUUUAAAUAAGUGAAAAAUGUCCUUCACUCUUUAGACCCAUAAUCUUAUCUCAGGAAAUAAUUGCAGUUGAGAAAAUGGGCCAUAUCCUUCAAGAUACGUACAUGGUGAUUGAACAUCACUUCAUAUUUUCAUAUUUCGUGGACAUUUGUGCCAAUACCUAUUGAUCUAUCUUAAUCCUUUUCAUGGUUGCAUAAUAUUUUAUUAUAUGGAUGUAUCACAAUUUACCAGUACCAGUCAACUGCUGGAGGCAUUUAGGCUCCUUCUAAUAUUUGCUUUGAGCUCUUUAUAUAAUUAAAAAUUAACCCCCUCAGCCAGGUGUGGCAGCUCACACCUGUAAUCCCAGCAUUUUGGAAGGCUGAGGUGAGAGAACUGCCUGAGUGUAGGAGAUCACCACCAACCUGGUCAACAUAGUGACACUUUGUCUCUACUACAAAUUAAAAAAAAAAAAAAUGAGCUACACGUUGCAGUGCACACCUGUAGUCCGAGCUACUGGGGAGGCUAAGACUGGAGGAUCACUUGAGUCUAGAAGGUUGAGGCUGCAGUAAGCUAUGAUCACACCAUUGCACUUUAGCUUUGCUAAGAGCAAGACUGCAUUUCUUAAACAAAAUAAAAAUUAGAUGGGAAUAUUGCUCAAGCCCUGGAGGUUGAGGCUGCAGUUAACUGUGAUUGCACCACUGCAGUCCAGCCUAGGUGAUAGAGCAAGACCCUUUCUCUAAAAAUAAAAUAAAAUAAAAAUUAACCUUCUAUCAUAUUUCCCAGUAACACCUUCCCUCCUACAUUUCUCCUAGAAGCCCUUAAAUUUUGUUUUUCACAUAUCGUUUAAAACUUUUAAGUGCUGAUGUCUGUCUGUGUCAUCCCUCUUUUUUUUUUUUUUUUUAAAUGUCUUUUUGUCACUUCUAGCUGGACCUACCAUGAAAGACUUCUGAAUCCAGGAAGAGAAACUGACUGGGCAACAUGUUAUUCAGGUACAAAAAGACUUGGACUGUAACUCAAAAAUGAUCAAAUAAUAGUGCAUGCAUCAAGUGCAAUCGGAAGCUCUUCUGGAGAGGGAGAGAAGCUUCCAGUUAAGGUGACAUUGAAGCCAAGUCCUGUAAGAUAAGGAAGAGUUGUAUGAGAGUGGGGAGGGAAGGGGGAGGUGGAGGGAUGGGGAUUGGGCUGGGAUGGGAUGGAGUGAGCUGCCCAGGCAGGGAAACCAGCACUAUACAGACCUGAACAAUGAAGAUGGCACAUUUUGUUCAGGGAAUGGUGAAUUAAGUGUGGCAGAAAUGCUUUGUAGAGACAGUAAUUUGCUUGUAUGGAAUUUUGCCCAAGAGACCUCAUUACAGUUUCUAAUUUUUUGAUGUUAUCAUGCAUCACUGCCCUUGUCAGAUAGUAUCAUGAUCACAAUAACAUCAAGCAUAAUAUUUCAUUGAUUCUCACAAAAACAGGUGGGUGCCACAGUUAUCCCCAUUAUAUGCACAAAAUGAUGAAGACUUGGGGUUAAUGAGCGAUUUGCCCAAGCUCUCCUGAAUAUUAGGACUGAGUCAAAUGUUAGUCUGGUCUGACUUUAAUGCUUGCCUUGUUCAUGAGCACCAUGCAUUGCCUCUCCUAUUAAGUUAAGCAGGUAGACAGGUGAGAGAAGAGCCAGUGUGAUAUCGGGGGAAAUUCACCCCUGAUAUUUCAUGUAGGUUCUUUUCUAUUUUCCCUGAGUGUCAGCCAGUCUGAGAAAUAAAGGGAAAGAGUACAAAAGAGAGAAAUUUUAAAGCUGGAUGUCCAGGGGAGACAUCACACGUCGGCAGGUUCCGUGAUGCCCCCCAAGCCGCAAAACCAACAAGUUUUUAUUAGUGAUUUUCAAAAGGUGAGGGAGUGUACGAAUGGGGUGUGGGUCACAGAGAUCACAUGCUUCACAAGGUAAUAAAAUAUCACAAGGCAAAUGGAGGCAGGGCAAGAUCACAGGACCACAGGACUGGGGCGAAAUUAAAAUUGCUAAUGAAGUUUCGGGCGCGCAUUGUCAUUGAUAACAUCUUAUCAGGAGAAAGGGUUUGAGAGCAGACAACCCAUCUGACCAACAUUUAUUAGGCGGGAAUUUCCUUGUCCUGAUAAGCCUGGGAGCGCCACGCGAACCCAGGGCUUAUUUCAUCCCUUAUCUAUGACUGUAAAAGACAGCCGUCCCCAAAGCGGCCAUUUCAGAGGCCUCCCCUUAGGGAUGCAUUCUCUUUCUCAGGGAUGUUCUUUGCUGAGAAAAAGAAUUCAGCAAUACUUCUCCUAUUUGCUUUUGAAAGAAGAGAAAUAUGGCUCUGUUCAACCCGGCCCACAGGCAGCCAGAGUUUAAGGUUAUCUCCCUUGUUCCCUGAAAUUGCUGUUAUCCUGUUCUUUUUUCAAGGUGCCCAGGUUUCAUAUUGUUUAAACAACUUGUGCAGUUAACGCAAUUAUCACAGGGUCCUGCGGGGACAUUCAUCCUCAGCUUACGAAGAUGACCGGAUUAAGAGAUUAAAGACAGGCAUAGAAAAUCACAAGGGUAUUGAUUGGGGAAGUGAUAAGUGUCCAUGAAAUCUUCACAAUUUAUGUUCAGAGAUUGCAGUAAUGACAGGCCUAAGAAAUUAUAGAAGUAUUAAUUUGGGGAACUAAUAAAUGUCCAUGAAAUCUUCACAAUUUAUGUUCUUCUGCUGUGGCUUCAGCCAGUCCCUCCGUUUGGGGUCCCUGACUUCCUGCAACAUGUUUCUCUCUACUCACAGACUUCUGACCAAAUGUGUGUGCAGAGUUUCUACACCAGUUCUCCAACUCUCUGGAUACCAACCGCGUAUCCCACAAUUCCAUUCUGACACUACCUAGAGUUAGCACAGAACCCACAGGUUAGGGGCUCAGUCCCACAAGACCACCCUCACUUCAGAUGCCAGUUGCAAGUCCUAGGUUGUCACCUGUAUUUUGACCAACCAGUUAGAAAUCAGGGUUUCCCAUGACCCUCUUGUUGAGUUUAAUUAUUUACUAGAACAACUCACAGAACUUAGAAAAACAAGUUUUUUUUCUUUUCUUGUUAAGAGACAGGGCCUCGCUCUGUUGUCCAAGCUGGUGUGCAGUGGUGCAAUCAUAGCUUAUUGAAGCCUCAACAUCCAGGGCUCAAGUGAUUCUCCUGCUUCAGCCUCUCAAGUAGCUGGAAUUACAGGGUUCCCACCACCACAUUUGGCUAAUUUCUUUUAUUUUUUGUAUAGAUGGGGUCUUCUUAUGUUGCCGAGGUUGGUCUCAAAUUCCUAGGCUCAAGUGAUUCCGCCCACCUCUGCCUCCCAAAGUGCUGGGAUUACGGGCAUGAGCCAGUGCAUCUGGCCACCUUAUUUUCUAUUACUGGCUCAAUGUAAUGGCUCCAUCUCAGGAACAGCCAAUGAAAGAGAUGCACAGGACAAGGCUGAUCUCUAACUCUUAGCCUCAAGCAAUCCUUCCUCUUUGGCCUCCCAAAAUGUUGGGAUUACAGAUGGGAGCCCCCAUACCCACCAAUCACAAGGAU